GACGAACGCUGGCGGCGUGCUUAACACAUGCAAGUCGAACGGAAAGGCCCUGCUUUUGUGGGGUGCUCGAGUGGCGAACGGGUGAGUAACACGUGAGUAACCUGCCCUUGACUUUGGGAUAACUUCAGGAAACUGGGGCUAAUACCGGAUAGGAGCUCCUGCUGCAUGGUGGGGGUUGGAAAGUUUCGGCGGUUGGGGAUGGACUCGCGGCUUAUCAGCUUGUUGGUGGGGUAGUGGCUUACCAAGGCUUUGACGGGUAGCCGGCCUGAGAGGGUGACCGGCCACAUUGGGACUGAGGUACGGCCCAGACUCCUACGGGAGGCAGCAGUGGGGAAUAUUGCACAAUGGGCGGAAGCCUGAUGCAGCAACGCCGCGUGCGGGAUGACGGCCUUCGGGUUGUAAACCGCAUUCGCCUGUGACGAAGCGUGAGUGACGGUAAUGGGUAAAGAAGCACCGGCUAACUACGUG
This 468-nucleotide ribosomal RNA is filed under the name uncultured bacterium. Its description in RNAcentral is "partial 16S ribosomal RNA". It matches the Rfam family "Bacterial small subunit ribosomal RNA", at positions 28 to 507 of the family's 1533-position model. The record is from RNAcentral.